GUUUGAACUAGGGUCACGGCGAAUGUCGGAAAGGACUACAUUGAUAAUGUGGCGGUCGCGGGUUCGAAUCCCGUC
RNAcentral lists this transfer RNA (75 nucleotides) under Sphingopyxis sp. JAI128. RNAcentral's name for it is "tRNA-Ile". Lineage: Bacteria; Pseudomonadati; Pseudomonadota; Alphaproteobacteria; Sphingomonadales; Sphingopyxidaceae. The record is from RNAcentral.